Molecule: microRNA, 22 nt
Filed under: Oreochromis niloticus (Nile tilapia)
Lineage: Eukaryota; Metazoa; Chordata; Actinopteri; Cichliformes; Cichlidae
Description: oni-miR-10619
Source: miRBase by way of RNAcentral
AUCGAGAGCCUUCUGACUCACU